RNAcentral lists this long non-coding RNA (670 nucleotides) under Zea mays. Its description in RNAcentral is "drought-responsive long non-coding RNA". The record is from RNAcentral. Lineage: Eukaryota; Viridiplantae; Streptophyta; Magnoliopsida; Poales; Poaceae.
ACAGCGGGUCACGUGGUGACGGUGGAGUUGAAGACCGGCGAGGUGUACCGACGGUCCACUCAAGUGCGAGGAUAACUAGAAUUGCCAGCUCAAGAACAUUACCUUCACCGCUAAGGACAAAGGAUCAACUAUUGGAGUUGGCUGUGGUCGUGCUGUUGCAAUGCGUGCUCAGAGUUCAAAAGUUGUUCAAGAUGGCAGUAAUCCUUACACCUUGGAAGGGACAGAUGGCUAGAAAUUUUAGCAAAACUUCAGCGUACGUAUAGAAGCAGAUGCUAACAGCAAGACAUGGGGAGGGAAGGAGAACGGAUGCAGCUACUGAAUGCAUAGCUUGCAGUAGUAGUUGCUACUGCAUCUGAUCCAGUUCCUAAUGACAUUUAUUUGGUCCCCUCAUUUAUGUGUGAUGACAGUUCAUAUUUUUUUAUUGUCAAGUACCUCCUCCAUUCUAUUUUAUUUUGUCGUGUUUUAGUUAAAAAAUAAACUAGCCGGCGACGAAUAUUCGAGAACGGGGGUAGUAAGAUAUAUGACUCGAAAGUUUCUGCCUCCCAGGACACAACCUCUGUCCCUCAUCCUCGAUCUAAAAAUCGGGUACAGUUCAUCUAUUUUUCAUCUGCGACUAAAUUGUAACAGUUCAUCUGUUUUUUUCCCAUUUAUGUGUGAUGAUAGUUCAUCU